RNAcentral lists this transfer RNA (74 nucleotides) under Mycoplasmopsis felis. RNAcentral describes it as "tRNA-Trp". It matches the Rfam family "tRNA". From Rfam's summary of the family: Transfer RNA (tRNA) molecules are approximately 80 nucleotides in length. Their secondary structure includes four short double-helical elements and three loops (D, anti-codon, and T loops). Further hydrogen bonds mediate the characteristic L-shaped molecular structure. tRNAs have two regions of fundamental functional importance: the anti-codon, which is responsible for specific mRNA codon recognition, and the 3' end, to which the tRNAs corresponding amino acid is attached (by aminoacyl-tRNA synthetases). tRNAs cope with the degeneracy of the genetic code in two manners: having more than one tRNA (with a specific anti-codon) for a particular amino acid; and 'wobble' base-pairing, i.e. permitting non-standard base-pairing at the 3rd anti-codon position. Lineage: Bacteria; Bacillati; Mycoplasmatota; Mycoplasmoidales; Metamycoplasmataceae. The record is from RNAcentral.
GGGGGUUUAGUAUAAUGGCGAUAUAGUGGUCUCCAAAACCGAUGAUAAGGGUUCGAUUCCUUUAACCCCCGCCA